This 159-nucleotide non-coding RNA is filed under the name Jeotgalibacillus soli. RNAcentral's name for it is "SAM-I sequence". It matches the Rfam family "SAM riboswitch aptamer (S box leader)". Rfam says of the family: The SAM riboswitch is found upstream of a number of genes which code for proteins involved in methionine or cysteine biosynthesis in Gram-positive bacteria. The record is from Rfam by way of RNAcentral. Lineage: Bacteria; Bacillati; Bacillota; Bacilli; Caryophanales; Caryophanaceae.
CUCUUAUCAAGAGCAGGUGGAGGGAAUUGGCCCGAUGAAACCCAGCAACCGACCAUAAAACCAUUGUGAGAUGGGGCGCUAUAAAUAGCGCUAGCAGGAAUCCCCUCUUAAGGCACGGUGCUACAUCCAUCAGAAACGGUUGUUUCUGAAAGAUAAGAG